Molecule: ribosomal RNA, 253 nt
Filed under: uncultured bacterium
Lineage: Bacteria
Description: partial 16S ribosomal RNA
Rfam family: Bacterial small subunit ribosomal RNA
Source: RNAcentral
UACGGAGGGUGCAAGCGUUAAUCGGAAUUACUGGGCGUAAAGCGCACGCAGGCGGUUGGAUAAGUUAGAUGUGAAAGCCCCGGGCUCAACCUGGGAAUUGCAUUUAAAACUGUCCAGCUAGAGUCUUGUAGAGGGGGGUAGAAUUCCAGGUGUAGCGGUGAAAUGCGUAGAGAUCUGGAGAAAUACCGGUGGCGAAGGCGGCCCCCUGGACAAAGACUGACGCUCAGGUGCGAAAGCGUGGGGAGCAAACAGG